Molecule: long non-coding RNA, 1133 nt
Filed under: Monodelphis domestica (gray short-tailed opossum)
Lineage: Eukaryota; Metazoa; Chordata; Mammalia; Didelphimorphia; Didelphidae
Description: lncRNA (ENSMODG00000043834.1)
Source: RNAcentral
GUUAAAGUUAUUCCCAUUUCACAAAGACAACCUGACUAGAUUUUCUUCCUCUCUUCAAGUCUGGACCGAGUUUCUUACCCCUUUUCAAUAUCUGCCCAAGACAUAUAUCCCAAAGGAUGAGCUACCUAAGAUUUUCAUUUUGUGUUAUAGUUUGGAGAAGUCAUUCAUAGAUAUACAUACUGUAGUAAAAAAAUUGGAAAUAAGGUAAUUAGGUAUUGCUAAAUGAAAAAGAUUGCAAAAGUAAACUUGCAAACCUUUAAGGCUUCAUGCAUGAGUGACAUGGCAUGACCAGGAGUUUGGAACAUGGGGCAUUUAGAUGAAAUUCUUAUGCUGGCAGUUGAGAACACUCAGGGAGCUGGAAGAAAGUUGGAUUUGGUUACUGACCUAGUCUAGACUGCUUUUGGAUUUGCUCAGAGGUUUCUCUGAGCUGAAUAGAUUUGAACCUAGUUUUGUUCUCACUGUCAAUUCUUCGGAGAGAACAUCACUGAUUGCUAGGAAAGACCUCUUAGUGACAGCAAAGUCCUUGAGCUAGUUUUGAGGACUUUGAGAAUCUUUCCUGGGUCAUCUCUGGUCUGGAAGGGUUCCUGACUACCUUCAAUGGUUUUCUGGUUCCUUACUACUGAUAUCAUCAACCAUGAAGGGGAAUACUUCAAGGAAGAAGGAAUUCAACAGAGGCAGAAGGAGAAGCGAAUAUUUAUCAAAUCUCUGAGCCCUUCUCAAAAGAUCUAUGGGCUGGAUAUUCUACAGAUGUUGGAUUCCUAAAAUCUGCAGCACCAGUUAGAGAAUCUCAACAUCUUAGAAGCUAAUAUCAACAUUGGAAUUCACAGCUCAUAAUUACCCUUAGCUCCUAGUACCCUGCCCUACUUCUAGCUAAAGAGAGAAGAAUGUGGAGAGUAGAGAGCUUAUCUAAGAUUCUCCAUUUAAAGAGGAGGCCUUAGACUUCUCUUCAUUUCCAACAUGACUGAAUUAUUCUGGACUUCAUCAUGUUUCUGAAUUAGAUGCUUUCUAAUAGUCUUUUCAGCUUUUUUUUUACUAUAUUGUGAGCUCCUCAAGGGCAAGAAAAUCUUUUGCCAUCCUUUGUGCUCAGUACAGUGCCAAAUAAAUAGUAAAUAUUAAAUAAAUGUUUACUGAUU